Molecule: ribosomal RNA, 58 nt
Filed under: Suillus variegatus
Lineage: Eukaryota; Fungi; Basidiomycota; Agaricomycetes; Boletales; Suillaceae
Description: 18S ribosomal RNA
Source: RNAcentral
CUCGAGGGCCUUCGGAAAGGAGAGAGGGUUGUAGCUGGCUUAAGCAUGUGCACGCCCU